AGCGAACGCUGGCGGCAGGCUUAACACAUGCAAGUCGAGCGGGCACUUUCGGGUGUCAGCGUCGGACGGGUGUGUACCGCGUGGGAACGUGCCCUCUGGUUCGGAAUAACUCAGGGAAACUUGAGCUAAUACCGGAUACGCCCUCUUGGGGAAAGUCUUGCUGUCGGAGGAUCGGCCCGCGUCUGAUUAGCUAGUUGGUGUGGUAACGGCUCACCAAGGGGAAGAUCAGUAGCUGGUCUGAGAGGAUGAUCAGCCACACUGGGACUGAGACACGGCGCAGACUCCUACGGGAGGCAGCAGUGGGGAAUAUUGGACAGUGGGCGCAAGCCUGAUCCAGCCAUGCCGCGUGAGUGAUGAAGGCCUUAGGGUUGGAAAGCUCGUUUAUCCGGGACGAUAAUGACGGUACCGGAGGAAUAAGCCCCGGCUAACUUCGUG
Molecule: ribosomal RNA, 435 nt
Filed under: uncultured bacterium
Lineage: Bacteria
Description: partial 16S ribosomal RNA
Rfam family: Bacterial small subunit ribosomal RNA
Source: RNAcentral